Non-coding RNA from Mesocricetus auratus (golden hamster), 47 nucleotides. The record is from Rfam. Lineage: Eukaryota; Metazoa; Chordata; Mammalia; Rodentia; Cricetidae.
ACAAAGGCUCUUUUCAGAGCCACCCACCUUCUCGACCAAAGCGCUGU